AGUGAACGCUGGCGGUAGGCCUAACACAUGCAAGUCGAACGGCAGCACAGUAAGAGCUUGCUCUUACGGGUGGCGAGUGGCGGACGGGUGAGGAAUACAUCGGAAUCUACUUUUUCGUGGGGGAUAACGUAGGGAAACUUACGCUAAUACCGCAUACGACCUACGGGUGAAAGCAGGGGAUCUUCGGACCUUGCGCGAUUGAAUGAGCAGAUGUCGGAUUAGCUAGUUGGCGGGGUAAAGGCCCACCAAGGCGACGAUCCGUAGCUGGUCUGAGAGGAUGAUCAGCCACACUAGAACUGAGACACGGUCCAGACUCCUACGGGAGGCAGCAGUGGGGAAUAUUGGACAAUGGGCGCAAGCCUGAUCCAGCCAUACCGCGUAGGUGAAGAAGGCCUUCGGGUUGUAAAGCCCUUUUGUUGGGAAAGAAAAGCAGCAGGUUAAUACCCCGCUGUUCUGACGGUACCCAAAGAAUAAGCACCGGCUAACUUCGUG
Molecule: ribosomal RNA, 492 nt
Filed under: uncultured bacterium
Lineage: Bacteria
Description: partial 16S ribosomal RNA
Rfam family: Bacterial small subunit ribosomal RNA
Source: RNAcentral